Long non-coding RNA from Pseudopipra pipra, 3615 nucleotides. RefSeq lists it as uncharacterized. NCBI's taxonomy places the organism in Eukaryota, Metazoa, Chordata, Aves, Passeriformes, Pipridae. The record is from RefSeq and is a predicted model, not a curated record. The transcript is spliced from 2 exons.
UUAUCCAACAGGCCAGAGACACACCAUGGUGAUUUUUGAUUUUUUUGCAUAACUAUUGAAACCCAUGAGCAGAAAAUCUUCGAUUAGAGCAGUGAAAUAACUUCAAUGGACUUCAAGAAAUAUUUACUCUGAGUCUCUAUGGAGUUAUAUUCCUCCAGAGGUACUACAGCUCAAUUUUUCCUGCAACCACAUUGAUAUAGAUAUUUAUACUCCAAUGACAACAUAUGUAAAAUUAAAGUGACUGCUCUUGAGGAGCAUUAAAAAAAGCAAUGAAAUUAAUGUCAUGGGGGUAUAUGGCUUGUAAGGAGCUUCUGCUUAAACGUGCAAUACAACAAAAAGACUCCAACCCCUGUUGUAACAAGCUGCAGAAUUGCAUCCAAGACCCACUAACAUCAUUGUGCCAAACACUAAUCUUAACAGCACAGGAACACUACUAACAGGAUUGCUAUUAGCAGGGUGGACACAGAAAAGGCAACUGAUAAUCCAGUUUCUCUGACAGGACAAGGGUGUCCUCUCCCACCUGAAGCUGUGGCCCAGCACUGCCCCAACAGCUUGUCACCAAGAGAUUGUAUUGUUCUCCAUCCAUUUGAGCUGUUUGUAUGAAUAGGCCUUAAACUGUUCCAGCAAAAACGAGCCUGCUCAGCUUUGAGCAUUUACUUUUUAUUAACUGAGCUCACUUGGUGCUUCUUUACCCAUUUCAACACAAACUGUUCGCACAGAAGAUUGGUGUAGGCAGCCCCUGUCACCUGUCAGAGCUGUCAAUGCAGAGGUUGCAUUCCUGAUGUAGCAUUGGCAUGUCUCAUAACAUGUAUCUUUACCAUUAACAAAAUUUCAGACAUUUUUUAAUAGAGCAAAACUUAUUACAAUGAAAAUUAAUUAAUCUAAUUUUAUAACUCCACUGUGCCAAGCCUAUUAGAUAUCUCCAGACCUCUGUAAAAACAUUUGGAGGCUUCAAUUGUCCUCUGCAAAGCAUGGGAAGCAGCACUGUCAGGUCUGUUCUGUGGUCUUUGUCCACAUGUUCUGUUGUUAAUCAACCCUCCCUGCCCGUCACAAAAGUGCUUGUUAACAACAGUGCACACUGGGCUGCAUGCAGACAGGUUAGACAGUUUUCCAGUUUUGCUUCAGCUUUUCUUCUGACAGAUACUUUACCUCAAAACUGACAGCCUUUCCCCAAGGUGCAGCACACACAGCCAUGCCUCUACCCUUCUGAGUGGAUUUCUCUCCACCCUGAGUUUUAGAGAUGCAGCCCCACAGCUCUUUGCUACAGCACAUCCUUUCUUAAGCCCACACCUCGGUGAGAAACCAAAGGGAGAGACGGGAUAUGUGCAGGUGCCACCCUCGCAAGUGACUGAUCUGAGAGAAACUUUUUAUGCAUCCUUCCACUCUUACCCACCGUUCCCACCUCCACAUUUGUUCUCCUUGAUACAUCCAUCCCCAGGAGACUUUUCACCCUGCAUGACUUAAUCCUGUUUGGGCUUUGCCCUGCAGCCAAGUAACCCACUGCCUCCAGAACUGUGCUGUACAAACAGGUAAUUAAUCUCUCCCUGUCACAUAAAAAACAGCCAAAACUGGUAUAGCUAUCAAUUAUAAGAAGGCAAAGUACUAGUAUGUUUGCCUGUAAGUGUAUUUUACACUCAAAAACAUAAAACAGGCAUUAUUAUUUCAAAGAACUGUAUUUUCUCCUGUUUCACCAGGCAUCAGUACCAGUGUCUGGCAAAAGGCUGCUGGCAUAUAUAUUGUAAAAGGCAGAAAGAAUAACAUUCCAGAGGCAGCAAGGAGAGGACAGGACAGGUUGUAUGAAGUUAUCAGCACUCCAGCAAAUGGUGAAAUGUUGGAAGACACAGAGCCAAAUUAAUAACUUCAAGGGCAUCAGCUGGGUACAACAACCAUUAGAAAUGUACCUGAAUAAAAUGACACAACACAAGUGAUAGAAGAUGAUGAAGAGACACUUCAGUAAACAAUGACUGACCUUAAAGAGACAGAAAAGCUCAACCAAUGGCUUAUUCUAAUUAAGAAGGAAGCACAACCAAUGCUGCUACUCCACACCCUGGAUGCAACAGCCCUCCCCAUGAGCCUGGUGAGGUUCAGGGCUCUCACAGUGCUACAACAGGCUGUAAGGCCACAGCCUGCAGGAAGCAGAGGGUGAGGACGGAAAAACUGAGUUCCUGGACAGAGCAAAAUUCAGGAUGGUACAAUUCCUACACAUAUCUCUUCACCCCAGGUAAUCCUGGUGCUAAGUUAGACAUCACAAUGGAAGAUCUCAAGCACCAGAGCAACAGACAUAAAAGCAGUCGCAGAGAAGAAAUUGCUAACAGAAAGGUGUCAGUCUAGUCUUCUUUUCUACAUUCCUAAACCAAACUUAGUAGCCCAAAUAGCAGUUAUUCCACAUGUUAAAACUACACAGCCAUAGGCAGAGGGCUAAACACCAUGAACGAUUUAGAUCCUGAGAAGAUGAUUGCUACACUCUGUGCUACACUAACCUGUGCUUUGCCUCCUCUUUCAGUCAACUCACAUCUCAAAACAUCUUGACAACCACCUUGGACAGAAGGAAAACCUUAUCCCUUACCUGGUGCCGUGCUGCAAGCAGGAGCAGGGACAGCAGAGCUCUCUGAGCACAUCAACCAGCCCACUCAUUCUCUUGUGCUCACAAAUUCUCUUCUUAUCUGGCCUCACUUGCAGAUAAAACUAAGCCUCUACAUACAGACAAAUCCUAAAUAUUGACAGCUUGUAAAAGGCUUAGUACUGAGGAUUGCUAUGAAGUAUUAUUUCACGGCAUAAUUUGCUUUUCAGAGCAACCCACAUUUCACUAACGGGAGAAGCUAUCGGGUACUCAGAGAAAGCUUCCAAAUCACAGCUGGGGAGGGAAGCACAGCACAGGGCACUGGGAACAAGCACUGCUGGCAAGUGCCAGGCAUCUGCCAAACACCUAAGAAAAAUUAUGUACCCCUGGAUAUGAAAGUAUAAAGCCACCAGCAUUCCCAAAACACACAGCGUUAUGCACCAUGUGUGUGAGGUUCGUUCUGAGUUUUAGGAGUAAACAAAAAUUAAAAAAGCCUCUCAUGGAAUAAAAGCUACUUUUGACUUUGAUCAGCCUCUCAAUUCAGUUUGCUGCUUGUGUGAGCACACAGGAUGGAGUAGAGCAUAGACACAAGUGAAAACCUGAGAAUAUUGAGACUGUUUAUUUCAGCAUCAGUGCUGACCUGGAGCCCACAGCUGACUUUACAGACACUGCUUGAUUUUCUUUCAUAAUUAUAACAGCAAUGUUUCAUGAUUUUCCCAUACUCAGCCUUUUAUUAGCAAAUGUUAACACCUAACUUCCAGAAACAGACCCUUCAUAAAAUGGAUUUUCCUAAGCUGAUUAUUUAAUAUGUCAACUUUGUUGUUUUAAUGAUAGUAAAUAUUUUUUUCCUUCACAUUUCUUGGAAAGCCCAGAUCAUUCAUGUCUGCCUCACUGACAUUCCCAGUCCUGGCAGCUCAUCACAUCCUCGGGUGCUUCUGAAUAACCUUCUCUGUCCAGAGGGAGUAGAUAUUUAGCAGCAACAGAUCUUAUACUUUUGGAACCAUGUGCUUCAGAAAUUUGCCACCAAUUUGACAAAUAAAUUAUAAAGUACCUCA